Molecule: non-coding RNA, 682 nt
Organism: Styela clava
Lineage: Eukaryota; Metazoa; Chordata; Ascidiacea; Stolidobranchia; Styelidae
Source: RefSeq, a predicted model, not a curated record
AAUCGUCAAUCAUUGCUCGAAAGUAUCCAAUGCAAACGGAAAAUAUGUGAAGCUACGAACAGCUUUCCCGCGUGCCUCAAACAUAAGCAAGCAAGGUUAUGUUCGGAGGACGAGUAUUAGCGAAUAAAGUGAAAGCGGAUCUCACGGAUCAAGAGUUUGUUGAGGUUUUGUCCGGGUUACGAAACGAGCUAAUUGAAGCGACAACGGAUCUCACAAAUCAUCUACUGGUUGAAUUAGUUGCGUUCUGAAUUUGGAAGGCCAAAGAAGAGGUCAACACCAAGAAAUAAAUGAGCGUACCAUAUAUAUAGAGUAUUUUAGGAUAUGAAUCGUGUAUCAUUAUUUUGUAUAGCAAUCGCUUUAAGAAAUUGACUAGUUUAUCAAAUGUAACGUUCCGUAGUUUUUUUUUAAAAAGAACUAUUUUAAUUAAUUGUCGUUUCCGAUUUUAAAAUGAAAUUUUACUACGUUAUGUUACUACGUUCAUUUCGCGUUUGACCAGUGUUUGAUCAUGGAAGGUAAAUUUUUAAAUUUCAUUGUUACUCGUUCUAAUACUAUCUGUACCUGCAUCCCAAUUAAUAGCUCGAAAUAAAUUCAACUCUCACAUUUUUCUGGGCACUGAAUGGUUUGCUAUUUUGGGGAUGAAUUCUCCAGAUAUUUUUUUAGUCUUACACUUAUUGUAAGUAAG